This 768-nucleotide ribosomal RNA is filed under the name uncultured Russula. RNAcentral's name for it is "partial 28S ribosomal RNA". It matches the Rfam family "Eukaryotic large subunit ribosomal RNA", at positions 216 to 962 of the family's 3401-position model. The record is from RNAcentral. Lineage: Eukaryota; Fungi; Basidiomycota; Agaricomycetes; Russulales; Russulaceae.
GAAUCCCGUCUUUGGCAUGGAUGACCGGGGCUUUUGUGAUGCGCUCUCGAAGAGUCGAGUUGUUUGGGAAUGCAGCUCAAAAUGGGUGGUGAACUCCAUCUAAAGCUAAAUAUUGGCGAGAGACCGAUAGCGAACAAGUACCGUGAGGGAAAGAUGAAAAGCACUUUGGAAAGAGAGUGAAACAGUACGUGAAAUUGUUGAAAGGGAAACGCUUGAAGUCAGUCGCGUCGACCAAGACUCAGCCUCGCCUCGGCUUGGUGUAAUUCUUGGCCGACGGGUCAGCAUCAAUUUUGUCCUUUGGAUAAUGACGAGGGAAAGGUAGCACCUUUGCGGGUGUGUUAUAGUCUCUCGUCGGAUACGAGGGUCGGGAUUGAGGAACUCAGCAUGCGCCUUUUGGCGUCGGGGCUUCGGCCUACGUUUACGUGCUUAGGAUGCUGGCAUAAUGGCUUUAAACGACCCGUCUUGAAACACGGACCAAGGAGUCUAACAUGCCCGCGAGUGUUCGGGUGGAAAACCCGUGCGCGUAAUGAAAGUAAAAGUUGGGACCCUUGUCGUGAGGGGCACCGACGCCCGGACCAGACCUUCUGUGACGGAUCUGCGGUAGAGCGUGUAUGUUGGGACCCGAAAGAUGGUGAACUAUGCUUGAAUAGGGUGAAGCCAGAGGAAACUCUGGUGGAGGCUCGUAGCGAUUCUGACGUGCAAAUCGAUCGUCAAAUUUGGGUAUAGGGGCGAAAGACUAAUCGAACCAUCUAGUAGCUGGUUCCUGCC